Arachis ipaensis is the source of this 523-nucleotide non-coding RNA. NCBI's taxonomy places the organism in Eukaryota, Viridiplantae, Streptophyta, Magnoliopsida, Fabales, Fabaceae. The record is from RefSeq and is a predicted model, not a curated record.
AUCAUCACAUCAUUUGCAACUGCAAGUCCGCACAACAAUAUUACCUACCGGUCAUACCCAUCAUUAUUUUUAUUUCUUUCAAUUUUUAAUUAAAAUUUCGGCAAUUUUAUUUCAAAGGAAAAAAAAAAGGAGAAAUUUCUCAGGAAUAUUACCAAAAAGCAAAAACCCUCUGUGUGUUUUGAGCUUUUGGAACACGAGCCUUGAUCUACGCCGAUGGCUACCACCAAUGGUUCUUCUCCGCGAGCUGCUGAAAACACAGAAAACAGCUUAGAGAAGAUCAAGCGUCAACUUGCUUCAUGUUCUGGCAGAAACUUGUUGCAGGGUCCUCUUCUCAAGCGAUCUGAAACCGUAAGCUGAAAUUGAAGUAAUUAGUUUCGAUUUAUAUAGGAAUGAAAUUCGAAAUGCUCAUGGUAUUAGCGGUCCAUAAUAAUUCGAUACAACUAGUUUCGAAUUGGCACAUGAUUUUGUAGCCCGUAGUAAUUCGAUUUAUUUACGAUAUAAUUAUAUAUAGAAUUUAAAUUCA